UCUGUAUGAAAAACAAAAAAGACCACAUGAGCUCAGACUAUUUACCUACAUAAAUAUUCUAUAAAAUAAAGUAGUACUCUAUCACUGCUCUUGUAUUACUUUUUUCUGUUAAGUACUGUAUUAUAAUUUCCUAGAAGGAAUAAACAGUUUUACCAAACCUUCAAUCCACUCACUGUUUUGAAUAUGAUAAUUUGAGUAUUUGAAUAUUGAUCAUUCGGUGCUAAAUUCAUAUGAGACAGAUUGAUAAAUUUUAUUGAAAUAGAUAGAGGAUUAGAAAAUUUAUUUUAAAAUAAGAAGAUUGGUAACUGAAAUAUUUCUGUGUAAAUGACAAAUGAAUUAAACCUGAAUAUAGCAGCAGCAAAGACCGGGAUCUUAAGAAAUUGCAUGGCGACACUUGUCCAUUGUGAUCCGAGGCCUGAAUAUACGAACCAAAUUGGUCGACGGACAUUAGAGAAGUACUGAAUUUCACGGGCAAUUGGUAUGCUUUUAGUCGGCGUAGAUCCUAAAAAUAACACAUAUAUAUGUCAUAUAAACAUGUAACGAGACAAAUUAAAUUAAAUACAAGUACAUUUUAAUGAUAUUGGUUUUAAAGACUACAAUGUUAUUUACAAGAAUCAAUUAAAAAGAAACCUAAAAUUAUAAAAAUAUUUAGUUUCAAUAUGGUUGAUUAUUCUGAAUUUGAAAAAUAUAAUAUUAUUUACCCAACAAUGUAUAUCCUCUAAAAUGGUGUCCUUUGAUAUUUUUAUUAUGUAUAGCAUGAAAUAAUCUCACUUGUUCUACAUCUACUGUCUUGGACUCCAAAUCAUUGAGAAUCUUGGCUACAGCUGACUUAGUUCGACCAGAAACACAGACAAGGCGGGGUAAGUCAUCUUCUGGAAGACCAUUAUUGACCUGGGCAAUAAUUAAGAAAGUGAUGUCAAAAUCUAGAGAUCUAUAUUCAGCAGUAAUGGUAAUCAAAAUAAAAACUAUAUAAAUAAA
Long non-coding RNA from Galleria mellonella (greater wax moth), 978 nucleotides. RefSeq lists it as uncharacterized. The record is from RefSeq and is a predicted model, not a curated record. The transcript has 2 exons. NCBI's taxonomy places the organism in Eukaryota, Metazoa, Arthropoda, Insecta, Lepidoptera, Pyralidae.